UUACAAUGGGGGAACCUGAUGGUUAACGCCGCGUGGAGGAUGAAGCGCUUCGGAUUGUAAACUCCUGUCAUGCGAGAACAAGAAAGUGAUAGUAUCGCAAGAGGAAGAGACGGCUAACUCUGUGCCAGCAGCCGCGGUAAUACAGAGGUCUCAAGCGUUGUUCGGAUUCAUUGGGCGUAAAGGGUGCGUAGGCGGCGUGGUAAGUUGAGUGUGAAAUCCUAGGGCUUAACCUUAGAACUGCACUCAAUACUGCCAUGCUAGAGGAAUGUAGAGGAGAGUGGAAUUCACGGUGUAGCAGUGAAAUGCGUAGAUAUCGUGAGGAAGACCAGUUGCGAAGGCGACUCUCUGGGCAUUUCCUGACGCUGAGGCACGAAGGCCAGGGGAGCAAACGGGAUUAGAUACCCCGGUAGUCCUGGCAGUAAACGGUGCACGUUUGGUGUGGGCGGGUUCAGACCCCGUCCGUGCCGGAGCUAACGCGUUAAACGUGCCGCCUGGGAAGUACGGUCGCAAGAUUAAAACUCAAAGAAAUUGACGGGGGCCCGCACAAGCGGUGGAGUAUGUGGCUUAAUUCGAUGCAACGCGAAAGAACUUAGCUGGUCUUGACAUGCAUCUCUAAGUUAGUGAAAGCUAGCGAG
RNAcentral lists this ribosomal RNA (635 nucleotides) under uncultured bacterium. RNAcentral's name for it is "bacterial SSU rRNA". It matches the Rfam family "Bacterial small subunit ribosomal RNA", at positions 366 to 1015 of the family's 1533-position model. The record is from RNAcentral.